GGGUUCAAGUUAAAUUGGCACCCUAUUUAUUCACUAAUGAUCCUUUCCGUAGGUGAACCUGCGGAAGGAUCAUUAGUGAAUAAAUAGGGUGUCCAAUUUAACUUGGAACCCGACCUUCUCACAUCUAACCCUGUGCAUCUGUAUUAAUGGCGAGCAAUUUUCGGAUUGUGAGCCAUUUCACUUUAUAAACACUAGUCUAUGAAUGUAAAAUUUUUAUAACAAAUAAAAACUUUCAACAACGGAUCUCUUGGCUCUCGCAUCGAUGAAGAACGCAGCGAAAUGCGAUACGUAAUGUGAAUUGCAGAAUUCAGUGAAUCAUCGAAUCUUUGAACGCAUCUUGCGCUCUCUGGUAUUCCGGAGAGCAUGUCUGUUUGAGUGUCAUGAAUUCUUCAACCCAACUGUUUCUUGUAAACAGCUGGUGUUUGGAUUCUGAGCGCUGCUGGCUUCGUGCCUAGCUCGUUCGUAAUACAUCAGCAUCCCUAAUACAAGUUUGGAUUGACUUGGCGUAAUAGACUAUUCGCUAAGGAUUCAAUGUUCGCAUUGAGCCAACUUAAUUAUGGAAGCUUCUAAUUGAAAAGUCUACCUUUAGAUUAGAUCUCAAAUCAGGCAGGAUUACCCGCUGAACUUAAGCAUAUCAAUAAGCGGGAGGAAAA
RNAcentral lists this ribosomal RNA (653 nucleotides) under Sporobolomyces roseus. Its description in RNAcentral is "eukaryotic LSU rRNA". The stretch from base 228 to 381 matches the Rfam family "5.8S ribosomal RNA". The record is from RNAcentral. Lineage: Eukaryota; Fungi; Basidiomycota; Microbotryomycetes; Sporidiobolales; Sporidiobolaceae.